UUUGUGCCAGCAGCCGCGGUAAUACAGAGAGGUGCAAGCUUAAUCCGAAUUACUGGGCGUAAAGCGCGCCUAAGGGGUUUGUUAAGUUGGAUGUGAAAGCCCCGGGCUCAACCUGGGAACUGGAUCCCAAACUGGCAAGCUAAAAUAUGGUAGAGGGGGGGGGAAUUUCCUGUGUAGCGGUGAAAUGCGUAGAUAUUGGAAGGAACACCAGUGGCGAAGGCGGCCCCCUGGACUGAUACUGACCCUGAGGUGCGAAAGCGUGGGGAGCAAACCGGAUUAGAUACCCUGGUAGUCCCCGCCGUAAACGAAGUCAACUAGCCGGUGGGAGCCCUGAGCUCUUAGUUGCGCAGCUAACGCAUUAAGUUGACCCCCUGGGGAGUACGGCCGCAAGGUUAAAACUCAAAUGAAUUGACGGGGGCCCGCCCAAGCGGUGGAGCAUGUGGUUUAAUUUGAGGCAACGCGAAGAACCUUACCAGGCCUUGACAUCCAAGGAACCUUCCAGAGAUAGAUUGGGGCCUUUGGGAACAUUGAGACAGGUGCUGCAUGGCUGUUGUCAGCUCGUGUCGUGAGAAGUUGGGUUAAGUCCCGUAACGAGCGCAACCCUUGUCCUUAGUUACCAGCACGUUAGGGUGGGCACUCAAAGGAGACUGCCGGUGACAAACCGGAGGAAGGUGGGGAUGACGUCAAGUCAUCAUGGCCCUUACGGCCAGGGCUACACACGUGCUACAAUGGUCGGUACAAAGGGUUGCCAACCCGCGAGGGCGAGCUAAUCCCAUAAAACCGAUCGUAGUCCGGAUCGCAGUCUGCAACUCGACUCCGUGAAGUCGGAAUCGCUAGUAAUCGCGAAUCAGAAUGUCGCGGUGAAUACGUUCCCGGGCCUUGUACACACCGCCCGUCACACCAUGGGAGUGGGUUGCACCAGAAGUAGCAUAUCAGCCUCGGAUGACCUAAUCAUGUCAGUACUCUUU
RNAcentral lists this ribosomal RNA (968 nucleotides) under Pseudomonas sp. GIST-WP3w1. RNAcentral describes it as "bacterial SSU rRNA". It matches the Rfam family "Bacterial small subunit ribosomal RNA", at positions 502 to 1473 of the family's 1533-position model. The record is from RNAcentral. Lineage: Bacteria; Pseudomonadati; Pseudomonadota; Gammaproteobacteria; Pseudomonadales; Pseudomonadaceae.